RNAcentral lists this ribosomal RNA (618 nucleotides) under uncultured bacterium. Its description in RNAcentral is "bacterial SSU rRNA". It matches the Rfam family "Bacterial small subunit ribosomal RNA", at positions 777 to 1393 of the family's 1533-position model. The record is from RNAcentral.
AUUAGAUACCCUGGUAGUCCACGCUGUAAACGAUGGGUACUAGGUGUGGGUAGUUCAACUCUAUCCGUGCCGCAGCAAACGCAAUAAGUACCCCGCCUGGGGAGUACGGCGCAAGGGUUGAAACUCAAAGGAAUUGACGGGGGCCCGCACAAGCAGCGGAGCAUGUGGUUUAAUUCGAAGCAACGCGAAGAACCUUACCAGGGCUUGACAUGGCCAUGACGUAUCUGGAGACAGGUAUUUCCUUCGGGACAUGGUCACAGGUGGUGCAUGGUUGUCGUCAGCUCGUGUCGUGAGAUGUUGGGUUAAGUCCCGCAACGAGCGCAACCCUUAUCGCUAGUUGCUAACACGUAAUGGUGAGCACUCUAGGGAGACUGCCGGGGACAAACUCGGAGGAAGGUGGGGAUGACGUCAAAUCAUCAUGCCCCUUAUGUCCUGGGCUACACACGUGCUACAAUGGCCGGAACAGAGGGCAGCGAAGGAGUAAUCCGGAGCAAAUCCCAAAAACCCGGUCUCAGUUCGGAUUGUGGGCUGCAACCCGCCCACAUGAAGUCGGAGUUGCUAGUAAUCGCGGUAUCGCCUUGCCGCGGUGAAUGCGUUCCCGGGCCUUGUACACACCGC